Molecule: microRNA precursor, 65 nt
Filed under: Echinococcus granulosus
Lineage: Eukaryota; Metazoa; Platyhelminthes; Cestoda; Cyclophyllidea; Taeniidae
Description: microRNA egr-mir-10229a precursor
Source: miRBase by way of RNAcentral
AGAAGUGGCGCUUGAUUUCAACACUGUUAGAAGCAACAGUGUUGAUACCAGGCAUUCACCUCUGU